RNAcentral lists this ribosomal RNA (290 nucleotides) under uncultured bacterium. RNAcentral describes it as "partial 16S ribosomal RNA". It matches the Rfam family "Bacterial small subunit ribosomal RNA", at positions 29 to 334 of the family's 1533-position model. The record is from RNAcentral.
AAUGAACGCUGGCGGUAUGCUUAACACAUGCAAGUCGAACGAUUUCAUCUAGCUUGCUAGAUGCGAUAGUGGCAAACGGGUGAGUAACACGUAGGAAUCUACCUAGCAGUACGGAAUAGCAGUUGGAAACGACUAUUAAUACCGUAUACGUCCUUCGGGAGAAAGAUUUAUCGCUGUUAGAUGAGCCUGCGCCGGAUUAGCUAGUUGGUGGGGUAAUGGCCCACCAAGGCGACGAUCCGUAGCUGUUCUGAGAGGAAGAUCAGCCACACUGGGACUGAGACACGGCCCAG